RNAcentral lists this ribosomal RNA (465 nucleotides) under uncultured bacterium. RNAcentral describes it as "partial 16S ribosomal RNA". It matches the Rfam family "Bacterial small subunit ribosomal RNA", at positions 338 to 795 of the family's 1533-position model. The record is from RNAcentral.
CCUACGGGAGGCAGCAGUGGGGAAUAUUGCGCAAUGGGCGAAAGCCUGACGCAGCGACGCCGCGUGAGGGAUGAAGGUCUUCGGAUCGUAAACCUCUGUCAGCAGGGAAGAACGGUCACUGUGCUAAUCAGCAGUGAAUUGACGGUACCUGCAAAGGAAGCACCGGCUAACUCCGUGCCAGCAGCCGCGGUAAUACGGAGGGUGCGAGCGUUAAUCGGAAUUACUGGGCGUAAAGCGCUCGUAGGCGGUAUGUCAAGUCAAGGGUGAAAUCCCCGCGCUCAAGGUGGGAACUGCCGUUGAAACUGGCAAACUGGAGUGUGUGAGAGGAUAGUGGAAUUCCAGGUGGAGGAGUGAAAGCCGUAGAUAUCUGGAGGAACAUCAGUGGCGAAGGCGACUAUCUGGCACAUAACUGACGCUGAGGAGCGAAAGCGUGGGUAGCAAACAGGAUUAGAUACCCGAGUAGUC